AGAGAGAGAGAGAGAGAAAGAGGUUAAAUGAAUCUAAGUGGUGCAAAAGUCGCAAUUGAGGGCGACAGGAAUCACUGUAGAGAGAGAGAAAGAGUGGGGCUAGUGUGAGUGGGUUGAGGGAAAAAUGGAUUUGAAAUUGGCUUUUUUAGGGUUUUUGUUGCGUGAGGAGACAAAGGAUGUGCGUGGAAAUCAGAUUCCAGGUGCUGGGUGUGUGGAGAGAGUAGAUAGAGAUAGAGAGGGGAUGAUUUGAUGAUUCUCGCUCUUUUUUACUUUCUUUCUUUCUUUCUUUCUCAAAAGGAAUAAUUGGCGUCAGCACCUUUCUUCUUUUCGGUUUCUUUAUUAUUGUUUCUACAAGACAAGGUCACUCUGGUGUGCAUGUGCUUUGGGCUAAUUGGUUACUGGAUUUGGGACUUCGCCUUCGCUAUCUUUCUUUUGCCCGCAGAAUCAAACAAUUUUAUGCCCCUUUCCUUCUCCUUUUUCUGUGGUUUGCGAGCAGUUGGUGUCCUGUACAUG
This 513-nucleotide unclassified non-coding RNA is filed under the name Hevea brasiliensis (rubber tree). The record is from RNAcentral. Lineage: Eukaryota; Viridiplantae; Streptophyta; Magnoliopsida; Malpighiales; Euphorbiaceae.